This 29-nucleotide small RNA is filed under the name Bombyx mori (domestic silkworm). RNAcentral's name for it is "ovarian small RNA-12468". Lineage: Eukaryota; Metazoa; Arthropoda; Insecta; Lepidoptera; Bombycidae. The record is from RNAcentral.
AUCCGUAUUGGUCUCAACAGGGUGGGCUC